This 254-nucleotide ribosomal RNA is filed under the name uncultured bacterium. Its description in RNAcentral is "partial 16S ribosomal RNA". It matches the Rfam family "Bacterial small subunit ribosomal RNA", at positions 524 to 776 of the family's 1533-position model. The record is from RNAcentral.
UACAGAGGGUGCGAGCGUUGUUCGGAAUUACUGGGCGUAAAGCGCGCGCAGGCGGCUCUUUAAGUCUGACGGUGAAAUGCCGGGGCUCAACCCCGUGCCCGCCGGAGAUACUGGGGAGCUGGAGACGAGUAGAGGCAAGCGGAAUUCCGGGUGUAGCGGUGGAAUGCGUAGAGAUCCGGAAGAACACCGGAGGCGAAGGCGGCUUGCUGGGCUCGGUCUGACGCUGAGGCGCGAAAGCGUGGGGAGCGAACAGG